AAUAAGAUAAUGAUAAAUCAGAUUUUUUUUCCUGAUUUUGAGCUUUUUCCUUCUUACAAAAUUUAAAUCAAACUAAAAAUACUAAAAAUUAAAAGAAAAAAUCUAAUUUAUCAUUCUCCUAUU
Non-coding RNA from Gossypium raimondii (Peruvian cotton), 123 nucleotides. Lineage: Eukaryota; Viridiplantae; Streptophyta; Magnoliopsida; Malvales; Malvaceae. The record is from Rfam.